UACAGAGGGUGCAAGCGUUAAUCGGAUUUACUGGGCGUAAAGGGCGCGUAGGCGGUUGAGUGAGUGUGAUGUGAAAGCCCCGGGCUUAACCUGGGAAGUGCAUCGCAAACGACUUGACUGGAGUAGGUGAGAGGGUGGCGGAAUUUCCGGUGUAGCGGUGAAAUGCGUAGAGAUCGGAAGGAACGUCAAUGGCGAAGGCAGCCACCUGGCACCAUACUGACGCUGAGGCGCGAGAGCGUGGGGAGCGAAC
Molecule: ribosomal RNA, 250 nt
Filed under: uncultured bacterium
Lineage: Bacteria
Description: partial 16S ribosomal RNA
Rfam family: Bacterial small subunit ribosomal RNA
Source: RNAcentral